RNAcentral lists this transfer RNA (91 nucleotides) under Geothrix sp. RNAcentral's name for it is "tRNA-Ser". It matches the Rfam family "tRNA". From Rfam's summary of the family: Transfer RNA (tRNA) molecules are approximately 80 nucleotides in length. Their secondary structure includes four short double-helical elements and three loops (D, anti-codon, and T loops). Further hydrogen bonds mediate the characteristic L-shaped molecular structure. tRNAs have two regions of fundamental functional importance: the anti-codon, which is responsible for specific mRNA codon recognition, and the 3' end, to which the tRNAs corresponding amino acid is attached (by aminoacyl-tRNA synthetases). tRNAs cope with the degeneracy of the genetic code in two manners: having more than one tRNA (with a specific anti-codon) for a particular amino acid; and 'wobble' base-pairing, i.e. permitting non-standard base-pairing at the 3rd anti-codon position. The record is from RNAcentral. Lineage: Bacteria; Pseudomonadati; Acidobacteriota; Holophagae; Holophagales; Holophagaceae. RNAcentral also lists the same sequence under 3 other names.
GGAGAGUUGUCCGAGUGGCUGAAGGAGCACGAUUGGAAAUCGUGUAACGGUCAAAAGCCGUUCGGGGGUUCGAAUCCCCCACUCUCCGCCA